This 211-nucleotide long non-coding RNA is filed under the name Oryza brachyantha (malo sina). Its description in RNAcentral is "long non-coding RNA (OBRA_LNC000419)". Lineage: Eukaryota; Viridiplantae; Streptophyta; Magnoliopsida; Poales; Poaceae. The record is from RNAcentral.
CGACUCGGCGUCAAGCGGCAGCGCUGGCGGCGGUGGCAGCGAUGAGGUCGAACGGCGGCGACGAGGACGACCCAACGUCGAGUGGAAGCGGCGGCAAAGAGCCAAAGACGUAGGUCGAGUGGCAGCGACGCGGGAUACAUGCGUUCGUGCAGCGGUGCGCUGGGUGGGUGCAGCACCUUGCACGCUCGCAGCAACGCUCAGAUGGAGCGUU